CAGUAGCCACGGGAAUACAGAGGGUGCAAGCGUUAAUCGGAAUUACUGGGCGUAAAGCGCGCGUAGGUGGUUUGUUAAGUUGGAUGUGAAAGCCCCGGGUUCAACCUGGGAACUGCAUCCAAAACUGGCAAGCUAGAGUACGGUAGAGGGUGGUGGAAUUUCCUGUGUAGCGGUGAAAUGCGUAGAUAUAGGAAGGAACACCAGUGGCGAAGGCGACCACCUGGACUGAUACUGACACUGAGGUGCGAAAGCGUGGGGAGCAAACAGGAUUAGAUACCCCUGUAGUCCCUGUCUCUUAUAC
Molecule: ribosomal RNA, 301 nt
Filed under: uncultured bacterium
Lineage: Bacteria
Description: partial 16S ribosomal RNA
Rfam family: Bacterial small subunit ribosomal RNA
Source: RNAcentral